GCCGGUGUAGCUCAGCGGUAGAGCAACGCUUUCGUAAAGCGUAGGUCGUGGGUCCGAUUCCCACCACCGGCUCCA
This 75-nucleotide transfer RNA is filed under the name Planctomycetota bacterium. Its description in RNAcentral is "tRNA-Thr". It matches the Rfam family "tRNA". From Rfam's summary of the family: Transfer RNA (tRNA) molecules are approximately 80 nucleotides in length. Their secondary structure includes four short double-helical elements and three loops (D, anti-codon, and T loops). Lineage: Bacteria; Pseudomonadati; Planctomycetota. The record is from RNAcentral.